Molecule: ribosomal RNA, 784 nt
Filed under: uncultured bacterium
Lineage: Bacteria
Description: bacterial SSU rRNA
Rfam family: Bacterial small subunit ribosomal RNA
Source: RNAcentral
AGAGUUUGAUCCUGGCUCAGAACGAACGCUGGCGGCGUGCUUAACACAUGCAAGUCGAGUGCGCGUCCGUAGCAAUACGGAUGGCGCACGGCGCACGGGUGCGUAACACGUGGGUAAUCUGCCCUCUGAUGGGGAAUAACUCGCCGAAAGGCGAGCUAAUUCCGCAUAAUAUUCCGAGAACUUAGGUUUUUGGACUGAAAGGCGUAAGUCGUCGGAGGAGGAGCCGCGCACGAUUAGCUAGUUGGUAGGGUAAUGGCCUACCAAGGCUUUGAUCGUUAGCUGGUCUGAGAGGAUGGCCAGCCACACUGGAACUGAGACACGGUCCAGACUCCUACGGGAGGCAGCAGUGGGGAAUCUUGCACAAUGGGCGAAAGCCUGAUGCAGCGACGCCGCGUGGGGGAUGAAGUUUUUCGGAGUGUAAACCCCUUUCGAUCCGGACGAAUGCCUCGCAAGAGGAGUGACGGUACGGAUAUAAGAAGCCCCGGCUAACUACGUGCCAGCAGCCGCGGUAAUACGUAGGGGGCCAGCGUUGUUCGGAAUUACUGGGUGUAAAGGGUUCGUAGGCGGUGUGGCAAGUUGGGAGUGAAAUCUCUGGGCUCAACCCAGAGACGGCUUCCAAAACUGCCGUGCUUGAGUGUGAGAGAGGCUCGUGGAAUUGCAGGUGUAGCGGUGAAAUGCGUAGAUAUCUGCAGGAACACCCGUGGCGAAAGCGGCGAGCUGGAUCACUACUGACGCUGAAGAACGAAAGCUAGGGGAGCAACAGGAUUAGAUACCCNNGUAGUCC